This 427-nucleotide ribosomal RNA is filed under the name uncultured Massilia sp. RNAcentral describes it as "bacterial SSU rRNA". It matches the Rfam family "Bacterial small subunit ribosomal RNA", at positions 355 to 774 of the family's 1533-position model. Lineage: Bacteria; Pseudomonadati; Pseudomonadota; Betaproteobacteria; Burkholderiales; Oxalobacteraceae. The record is from RNAcentral.
UGGGGAAUUUUGGACAAUGGGCGCAAGCCUGAUCCAGCAAUGCCGCGUGAGUGAAGAAGGCCUUCGGGUUGUAAAGCUCUUUUGUCAGGGAAGAAACGGUUCUGGAUAAUACCUGGAGCUAAUGACGGUACCUGAAGAAUAAGCACCGGCUAACUACGUGCCAGCAGCCGCGGUAAUACGUAGGGUGCGAGCGUUAAUCGGAAUUACUGGGCGUAAAGCGUGCGCAGGCGGUUUUGUAAGUCUGACGUGAAAUCCCCGGGCUUAACCUGGGAAUUGCGUUGGAGACUGCAAGGCUGGAGUCUGGCAGAGGGGGGUAGAAUUCCACGUGUAGCAGUGAAAUGCGUAGAGAUGUGGAGGAACACCGAUGGCGAAGGCAGCCCCCUGGGUCAAGACUGACGCUCAUGCACGAAAGCGUGGGGAGCAAACA